GUUGUUCCCGUCUUUACUUUUUCAGACACGAAAGAUUCUUGCAGCAUGUGAGAAGAGCCUGACAGAUGCUCACCAACUGAACUACGACCCCCACAAUCCCUUUGACAUCUGCCCAGCCUCUUUCACUCCCCUGUACCGUGGGCGGCCAGUGGAGAAAUGUCCCCUGUCUGGAGCCUGCUACUGCCCCAAAUACAAAGGAGAGGUCUGCACGGUCACACUGGUAACCGAGAUUGGUAAAGAUGUGAUCGGAUUGCGUGUCAGCCCACUGCAGUUCCGUUGAACACACAUUAUAUAAGCAUGGAUGAAAACAGAUAUGCUUCUCUCUCACGUGUACUUUUCCUUUAUAAGAUAAAGUAAUGAAAACUAAGAUCAGAAAAUUCUAGAAAAUACCUUGUUACAUGACUAAUCUUCCUGUGACUGUGCUUUCUAUUAUUAUCUCUGAGGUCUCUACAGUAUGUGUGCUUGUUUCAUUAAUCUGAAUAACCAAGUGUACAUCUGUGACCCUGUCAAUCAGUGCAAAACAAGUUUCCUUUCCUGUGAAACUCUUUAAAUGUUGAAAUAAAAUUCUGGUAAACAAA
Long non-coding RNA from Sinocyclocheilus rhinocerous, 578 nucleotides. RefSeq lists it as uncharacterized. The record is from RefSeq and is a predicted model, not a curated record. NCBI's taxonomy places the organism in Eukaryota, Metazoa, Chordata, Actinopteri, Cypriniformes, Cyprinidae. The transcript has 2 exons.